UACGAAGGGGGCUAGCGUUGUUCGGAAUUACUGGGCGUAAAGCGCACGUAGGCGGAUACUUAAGUCAGGGGUGAAAUCCCGGGGCUCAACCCCGGAACUGCCUUUGAUACUGGGUAUCUCGAGUCCGGAAGAGGUGAGUGGAAUUCCGAGUGUAGAGGUGAAAUUCGUAGAUAUUCGGAAGAACACCAGUGGCGAAGGCGGCUCACUGGUCCGGUACUGACGCUGAGGUGCGAAAGCGUGGGGAGCAAACAGG
This 253-nucleotide ribosomal RNA is filed under the name uncultured bacterium. RNAcentral describes it as "partial 16S ribosomal RNA". It matches the Rfam family "Bacterial small subunit ribosomal RNA", at positions 524 to 776 of the family's 1533-position model. The record is from RNAcentral.